AAAAUAUCUAAUUCCCACAGAAAGGGUGAAACACCAAGCUUAAGAAGAGACUAAAAAGAGCAUAUAUAUAACAACAAGUACUUAGAUUAUAUGUUCAAAGUACAAAUUCCAUAUAUGACCACAAGUACAAGAUUACUUGCUAUCAUAAUUUCUGCUAAAAGUCUAUUAUCACUAGAUUCACUAUUACUAGCACUACUGAUUACUGGUACUAGCUCAUUGCCAGGCGGUUUGUCCCUUAAAGAGUAGUUCCAAUUGUACCCACAAAUCCAAACAUGUGCUCUUAGAAAGCAAAGCAAAGCAACGUUCAUUAUAUAACCAUCUCUUUAUAGGA
This 331-nucleotide unclassified non-coding RNA is filed under the name Hevea brasiliensis (rubber tree). The record is from RNAcentral. Lineage: Eukaryota; Viridiplantae; Streptophyta; Magnoliopsida; Malpighiales; Euphorbiaceae.